Molecule: long non-coding RNA, 211 nt
Filed under: Elaeis guineensis (African oil palm)
Lineage: Eukaryota; Viridiplantae; Streptophyta; Magnoliopsida; Arecales; Arecaceae
Description: long non-coding RNA (EGUI_LNC068144)
Source: RNAcentral
UAUAGCAUACCUCUUUUACCAUCCUACUGAACAAAAGGUGUUUGUCAGUAAAAAUAUCACUUUUAUGAAAAAAGAGUUUAUCCUAGAAAGAGGCAGUGGGAAGAAAAUUAAACUUGGAGAAGUUCAAGACCUACAAAUAGAAGCACAAGAUAAUCCUCAACUAGAAAUAUCUAUUGAUGAGGUUCAACCACAAAAUACACCUCCUCUCCGA